This 253-nucleotide ribosomal RNA is filed under the name uncultured bacterium. RNAcentral describes it as "partial 16S ribosomal RNA". It matches the Rfam family "Bacterial small subunit ribosomal RNA", at positions 524 to 776 of the family's 1533-position model. The record is from RNAcentral.
UACGAAGGGGGCUAGCGUUGCUCGGAAUCACUGGGCGUAAAGCGCACGUAGGCGGUUUCUUAAGUCAGGGGUGAAAUCCUGGAGCUCAACUCCAGAACUGCCUUUGAUACUGGGAGACUUGAGUCCGGGAGAGGUGAGUGGAACUGCGAGUGUAGAGGUGAAAUUCGUAGAUAUUCGCAAGAACACCAGUGGCGAAGGCGGCUCACUGGCCCGGUACUGACGCUGAGGUGCGAAAGCGGGGGGAGCAAACAGG